RNAcentral lists this ribosomal RNA (439 nucleotides) under uncultured soil bacterium. Its description in RNAcentral is "bacterial SSU rRNA". It matches the Rfam family "Bacterial small subunit ribosomal RNA", at positions 26 to 466 of the family's 1533-position model. The record is from RNAcentral.
AGAUUGAACGCUGGCGGCAUGCUUUACACAUGCAAGUCGAACGGUAACAGGCCGCAAGGUGCUGACGAGUGGCGAACGGGUGAGUAAUGCAUCGGAACGUGCCCAGUCGUGGGGGAUAACGCAGCGAAAGCUGUGCUAAUACCGCAUACGAUCUAUGGAUGAAAGCGGGGGACCGAAAGGCCUCGCGCGAUUGGAGCGGCCGAUGUCAGAUUAGCUAGUUGGUGGGGUAAAGGCCCACCAAGGCGACGAUCUGUAGCUGGUCUGAGAGGACGACCAGCCACACUGGAACUGAGACACGGUCCAGACGUCCUACGGGAGCAGCAGGUGGGGAAUUUUGGACAAGUGGGCGCAAGCCUGACUCCAGCAAUGCCGCGUGCAGGAAGAAGGCCGUUCGGUUGUAAACUGUACUUUUGUACGGUAACGAACGUACGUAGGUUAA